GCCGGGUUAGCUCAGCUGGUAGAGCAGCGGUUUUGUAAACCGAAGGUCGCGGGUUCGAUCCCUGCACUCGGCACCA
RNAcentral lists this transfer RNA (76 nucleotides) under Sphingomonas sp. Its description in RNAcentral is "tRNA-Thr". It matches the Rfam family "tRNA". From Rfam's summary of the family: Transfer RNA (tRNA) molecules are approximately 80 nucleotides in length. Their secondary structure includes four short double-helical elements and three loops (D, anti-codon, and T loops). Lineage: Bacteria; Pseudomonadati; Pseudomonadota; Alphaproteobacteria; Sphingomonadales; Sphingomonadaceae. RNAcentral also lists the same sequence under 33 other names. The record is from RNAcentral.